AUACUUACCUGGCAGGGGAGAUACCAUGAUCACAAAGGUGGUUUUCCCAGGGCGAGGCUUAUCCAUUGCACUCCGGAUGUGCUGACCCCUGCGAUUUCCCCAAAUGUGGGAAACUUGACUGCAUAAUUUGUGGUAGUGGGGACUGCGUUCACGCUCUCCCCUG
Molecule: small nuclear RNA, 163 nt
Organism: Aotus nancymaae (Ma's night monkey)
Lineage: Eukaryota; Metazoa; Chordata; Mammalia; Primates; Aotidae
Gene: U1
Rfam family: U1 spliceosomal RNA
About the family: U1 is a small nuclear RNA (snRNA) component of the spliceosome (involved in pre-mRNA splicing).
Source: Ensembl